Molecule: ribosomal RNA, 464 nt
Filed under: uncultured bacterium
Lineage: Bacteria
Description: bacterial SSU rRNA
Rfam family: Bacterial small subunit ribosomal RNA
Source: RNAcentral
UUACGGGAGGCAGCAGUCGAGGAUUUUUCUCAAUGGGGGAAACCCUGAAGGAGCGACGCCGCGUGGGGGAUGAAGGUCUUCGGAUUGUAAACCCCUGUCAUCUGGGAACAAAGCGCUCCACCUAACACGUGGAUUGUUGAUAGUACCGGAAGAGGAAGCCGUGGCUAACUCUGUGCCAGCAGCCGCGGUAAUACAGAGACGGCAAGCGUUGUUCGGAUUCAUUGGGCGUAAAGGGUGCGCAGGCGGCUCGUUAAGUCGGAUGUGAAAUCUCAUAGCUUAACUAUGAUAGGUCAUUCGAAACUAGCGGGCUCGAGGACUGGAGAGGAGACUGGAAUGGUCGGUGUAGCGGUGAAAUGCGUAGAGAUCGACCAGAACACCGGUGGCGAAGGCGGGUCUCUGGACAGUUCCUGACGCUCAGGCACGAAAGCCAGGGGAGCAAACGGGAUUAGAUACCCUUGUAGUCC